AUUUAAGGACUGACUGCUACUGGGAAAGGGUCUCUGGUGACAAGACAAACAUUUCAUCUGAAGAAAAUCCUCAGGUGCUGUUUAGCACCGCUAAUAGAGAAGGAUUCAAGACAGUGUCAGACACUGAAUUAUACUGGACUCAGCCCUGGGAAUGUAAACCUGUGGAGUGGAGUAUCGCUGCUGAAAGCCACAGAGCACACAGGCUGCUGGAAUGAAUAACUACACUCAGAGACUGCUAUAUAUGGACAUUUCUAGAAAAAUAGAAUUGUACAGAACCUGAGGAACUACAGUCUGGUUUUGGAGACCAAAUUCAAAGCAACAAGCUACCAAGAAGUUACAAAAACAGCCAUUUGUGAGCAGCUCUGCAGAGAUCUCCUCAUGCUGCAGGAUCCCUGCACUGAGUUAUCUCAGCAUCCAUAACCCUGCAUGGAAGUGACUUCUUACCUACAAAACAUGGUGGUUGGACUACAGGAUUUUAGCGGCCUCUUCCAACCUUAAUGAUUAUAUGAAUCACAGGGGAUCUGCUGAUAGCUGGCUGGUGAACACCUUGCCCAAGAUUUAGUGUCAUAACAGCACAUUCAUUUCACAGUCCUGCCUGUUGCCAAGUCCCUGUACAAGAGCAAGGUUACUGGAAAACACAACCAAAUGGGAUAGGAAUCCUCUCACAGUACUUUGCACUGGAGGGUAAUGAACCAAACCCUUGAUUUCUUCCUCAUACCAAUCUAAACAGAAGAGCUGUUUAUACUAAAGUUUUGUUUAUGAAGAGUCACUGAAUUAGACACUCCUAAGUGAGUCACUGGUUGAUGAAACAAGAGGCACUCAUUGCAGGCAGCAUCAAGUUCAUUCAGAUCUAGCUUACAACUUUUCCUUUUUUCCCAGUCCAAGGGUAGCAUCAGUUUUAAUAGCUCCAGCCACUCCUCAAGAUCAGCCCUCCUUGACUCACCAAUUACCCAGCUAGUAAAAAAAAGAAAAACAUAGGACAGCAGAUGAAUACUGCUCAUGCUCUUAGCCAAAGCACAGGACAGUGGGCUGGGCAGGGCCAGACUGCCCAAGAUGACACUUAGUAUGACAGUUGCCUUCCAACUACACAGAGCAUGAAAGAAUUUCCUUUCCUGCCGCUGGUAACACAGCUGGGAGACCAUCAGAAAUGGCUUCUCCUUCUUCCAGAAAAAUACGAUGGUGCAGUUCAGUGGCUCAGUCAUCCUGGUGCUUCUAAGUUCCACAUUUCAGAUUUUUUAAUGAUUUUCUGGUACCAUAGUUACCUCUUAUAUUGCUGCUGUAUAGUUAAAGACCCAGAAUGAACCAGUAUUGUAGAAUCGUAGAAUCAUUAAGGUUGAAAAGAUCAAUAAGAUCAUCUAGACCAACC
Molecule: long non-coding RNA, 1366 nt
Filed under: Gallus gallus (chicken)
Lineage: Eukaryota; Metazoa; Chordata; Aves; Galliformes; Phasianidae
Description: lncRNA (ENSGALG00010018135.1)
Source: RNAcentral